Molecule: long non-coding RNA, 372 nt
Filed under: Musa acuminata (dwarf banana)
Lineage: Eukaryota; Viridiplantae; Streptophyta; Magnoliopsida; Zingiberales; Musaceae
Description: long non-coding RNA (MACU_LNC010548)
Source: RNAcentral
GAAAUUGGAGCAUUUCAUUGGCAAAAAAAACAUUUAGGCAUGUAUCAAAUGGCACAUGAAGCAUUUAGGUACAUAUCAAAGGCAUAAGAGUGUUUGAGAGCAUAACAAUGACAUACGAAACACUUCAAGGUAUAACAAGUGAACCGAGUAAUAAACACAAGCUUGUAUGUCCUUUUUUGAUGUAGCAUGCAUUCCAUUUUUAUCCAAAGCAUAAUAUGAACUCAUAAACAAAGCUUUGGAUAUCAUAUCAAUAAACAUAGAUGGCGCUGUGGGACCACAUACAUAAUGUGAUUCAUCCAUUUCUGGAUGACCACCAAGCAUAAGUCUCCCACGUCUAGGAGCUCCAUCCACCCACGUCUGAGUGAAGUCAAU